AUUUAUAUAGUUUAAUCAUUUAAAACCCCUUAAUUUCAAUAAGGAGACAAGAUAAUUUAUCUUUAUAAAUA
Molecule: transfer RNA, 71 nt
Filed under: Nezara viridula (southern green stink bug)
Lineage: Eukaryota; Metazoa; Arthropoda; Insecta; Hemiptera; Pentatomidae
Description: tRNA-Glu
Source: RNAcentral